CUGGCUCAGGAUGAACGCUGGCGGCGUGCCUAACACAUGCAAGUCGAGCGAGGAGAUAAGAGCUUGCUCUUUGA
This 74-nucleotide ribosomal RNA is filed under the name Tepidibacter formicigenes DSM 15518. RNAcentral describes it as "16S rRNA. Bacterial SSU". The record is from RNAcentral. Lineage: Bacteria; Bacillati; Bacillota; Clostridia; Peptostreptococcales; Peptostreptococcaceae.